Trichonephila clavata is the source of this 73-nucleotide non-coding RNA. The record is from the annotation of a GenBank genome assembly. NCBI's taxonomy places the organism in Eukaryota, Metazoa, Arthropoda, Arachnida, Araneae, Nephilidae.
GUCCCUGUAGUGCAAUGGAUAGCACGCUGGAUUUCUAAUCCAAAGGUCAUGGGUUAGAAUCCCAUCUAGGAUG